UCUUUCCUACGAAUUGAGAGACCGGCCCUGGCCUGACACGCUGGAGUUGAAAAAGGGGAACAGAAACUGGCCAACCAACACCUUGUGCUAAGGAAAAGCAUUAUAGCUUCAUACAUUAAGUCUGAUCUGUGGUACAAGAGGGAAACUGAGGCAUGCCACUGUUGGGGAAGGCUAGCAACUCUAAGGUAAAUAAAGAAGAAACUAGAAAGAAGCAAGGAGUUCAUCACGUUGAACAGAAAGACUGGGAGUGAGGUACCAGCCCUCUCCCCCACCGUUAUUGGUUUUGCUUUAAUAGCUCUAGAGCACCAGAGAUAAUAAGAAAUCUAUAAGAAACAUGGGCAAGUGGGACAUCAGCAUAUUUAAGUAAAGAUACCCACAAUAAUGAGGAAACUAGUAACCUCACCAUUGCAAUAACAGCUACUUGCUCUGCUACUCACUGGUGCCUGAUGCCUUAAAAGGCCUCAAGAAUUAUGGAAUUGCAUGGGUUAACAAUUAAACAUCUGUGAACCAUGCUUGAUCCUAUAAGAAAAACAGUGACUCUAGUCAACGUAACCUCCUUCAAGUCACAUACAUAGAAAUGAGAAUACACGGCCUUGGGCCGCCCCUCAUUCACACAGAAUCAUUUUGUUUAUUGUAACAACAUGAACACUACAAGGACAAAGAAUACACAGUCCUCUGAGUUAAAGUUUGUAUGGAAUAUUGUGGGAAAGAAGCUAAACACUAACAUCAGGCCACUGAAGUUAGACCUACUGACUCCCACUGGGGCUUACCACUUAAAGCCCAAACAAAGGUAACCCCUGAGGCAUGGCUGUCAUUUGUUAAACAAUGGCCAUUGCUAACUUGCCGUAUUAUUAACCAGGUCCUUGAGGACAAAAUAGAGCCUCCCAAUUGUGCAUCAUGCCCUGAACAGACCCCUGUCCCAGAACCAGGACAAUUGUCACUGGUCCUUACCUUGGUGAUGUUCCACACUGGUAUAGACCAGGUGUGUGCUAGACUGGUUAAUCACAUUAGCAAUUUCCUAAUUGGGCAACGACAGGGCUUAGCAGAUACCAUCACAGAUUGGUUUGAGCCUGGAAACUCUGUCAGCAACACUUAUGUCAUAGCCUAGAAAUUGUAUAGAAUCCAGGCUGGUAGAUGCAGUAAUAUCCAUUGCCUGUAAAGGCCUAGACACCAGCCAAGCUAACCGACUGAUCCUGGAUUGUUUGAAAGAUCUGUCCAGCUCUGUGUCCACUUCACUAGAUCUAACCAGAUAUUUGGACCAGAGACUAAUUAGAUUGUUAAUUAAUAGAACUAAAUUAAAGAAUUAGGAGGCCAGUAUUAAAGCAUAAGAUAGCUUUAACCACCCAGCCUUUAUGGUGGUAAGUCCCCAUCUCCCCCGUGCCUACCCAUGGGAGUGGGGAAGUAAAGAAUCCAUGAGGACCCAAAGGAUCAAGAGAUGGCAAAUAGGAAAACAGAUUAAAUACUGUGGUGCAAAGAUUAAACAAUCGGCAGACUCCUACGGGCAGUCCAAUCAGUAAGAGAUUCCUUCCCUACAGAGAGAACCUUUCCUAGCCCCACUGUACCACUCAAAGAUUUUAAAUAUGCACCUGAAGACACUGUGGUAAUCAAACACCCCAGUUUAGAAUGCAAAUCCACAUACUGAACUCCUACAAGGGAAAAGGAGUCUGGAACAAUGCACACGCUGGGCUAACACCAAUAACCAUUACUGAGGCUUGGAUUGUAUCCAAGACCAGCGAACUUUUUGUUUUAUUACAGGAUACUGAGGCAAUGGCCCUGAACAGUGCUCCAGUGAGAUGUAUCCCUCCCAGCGCUAGUGUAGAUCCAAGAAACCAUGAUGAACUUUUUGUAUAUAUACCACUUGCUGUUGCAGCGCUUGUAAUCGCUGUUGUUAUAGACUGAACUAUAGAAAAGAAAACCUAAGCUGAAGCAAGACAUGGUACUCCAACUCACCAAGGUCUUCUUCCUCAUCCCAACUGCUACUGCUGUACCAGAACACCUUACUUGACUCCUCUACUAGACUGGAAAUCAAGUUUGUCCCUGUAGGGUAAACUGAGGCAGCCCUAAAUGUGCUAGUAGGCCUCUAAACAGCAUAACUCCAUUCUAGGAUUAAGGCCUGGGAACACCACAGUCAGGAUAAGAACUGCAGACAGUAAAAGACC
Non-coding RNA from Pelodiscus sinensis (Chinese soft-shelled turtle), 2159 nucleotides. Lineage: Eukaryota; Metazoa; Chordata; Testudines; Trionychidae. The record is from RefSeq and is a predicted model, not a curated record.